GCUCAGUUGGUAGAGUGCAUGCCUCACAUGCAUGAAGUCCUGGGUUUGAUUCCCAG
RNAcentral lists this transfer RNA (56 nucleotides) under Mus musculus (house mouse). It matches the Rfam family "tRNA", at positions 10 to 63 of the family's 71-position model. From Rfam's summary of the family: Transfer RNA (tRNA) molecules are approximately 80 nucleotides in length. The record is from Rfam by way of RNAcentral. Lineage: Eukaryota; Metazoa; Chordata; Mammalia; Rodentia; Muridae.